RNAcentral lists this transfer RNA (75 nucleotides) under Bacteroidota bacterium. Its description in RNAcentral is "Bacteroidetes bacterium (marine metagenome) tRNA-Pro". It matches the Rfam family "tRNA". From Rfam's summary of the family: Transfer RNA (tRNA) molecules are approximately 80 nucleotides in length. Lineage: Bacteria; Pseudomonadati; Bacteroidota. RNAcentral also lists the same sequence under 3 other names. The record is from RNAcentral.
CGGGGUGUAGCGCAGCCCGGUUAGCGCAUCUGCUUUGGGAGCAGAGGGUCGGAGGUUCGAAUCCUCUCACCCCGA